This is a long non-coding RNA of Felis catus (domestic cat), 168 nucleotides long. RefSeq lists it as uncharacterized. Lineage: Eukaryota; Metazoa; Chordata; Mammalia; Carnivora; Felidae. The transcript is spliced from 2 exons. The record is from RefSeq and is a predicted model, not a curated record.
CAGCCUUUCUCAUGGUAAUCAGCCCCCAGCAUCACCUCCCGGCUGCGGCCGCUCCCGCUCCUUGCGCAGCUCGCGGACCCCGGGGACCGGAAACGGGGCGGCGGGCGGGGAGCAAGCUAGCUAGCGACCCAGGCUCAACUCCGAAUGGAUUGGAUUGCAAGUUUGCAC